RNAcentral lists this ribosomal RNA (447 nucleotides) under uncultured bacterium. RNAcentral describes it as "partial 16S ribosomal RNA". It matches the Rfam family "Bacterial small subunit ribosomal RNA", at positions 330 to 793 of the family's 1533-position model. The record is from RNAcentral.
GCCAGACUCCUACGGGAGGCAGCAGUGGGGAAUAUUGCACAAUGGGGGGAACCCUGAUGCAGCGACGCCGCGUGGGUGAAGGAGCGUUUCGGCGCGUAAAGCCCUAUCGGCAGGGAAGAAGGAGGACGGUACCUGACUAAGAAGCCCCGGCUAACUACGUGCCAGCAGCCGCGGUAAUACGUAGGGGGCAAGCGUUAUCCGGAUUUACUGGGUGUAAAGGGGGCGCAGACGGCAGCGCAAGCCAGGAGUGAAAGCCCGGGGCCCAACCCCGGGACUGCUCUUGGAACUGCGCGGCUGGAGUGCAGGAGGGGCAGGCGGAAUUCCUGGUGUAGCGGUGAAAUGCGUAGAUAUCAGGAGGAACACCGGUGGCGAAGGCGGCCUGCUGGACUGCGACUGACGUUGAGGCCCGAAAGCGUGGGGAGCAAACAGGAUUAGAUACCCCCGUAU